CUACGUGCCAGCAGCCGCGGUAAUACGUAGGGUGCGAGCGUUAAUCGGAAUUACUGGGCGUAAAGCGAGCGCAGACGGUUACUUAAGCAGGAUGUGAAAUCCCCGGGCUCAACCUGGGAACUGCGUUCUGAACUGGGUGACUAGAGUGUGUCAGAGGGAGGUAGAAUUCCACGUGUAGCAGUGAAAUGCGUAGAGAUGUGGAGGAAUACCGAUGGCGAAGGCAGCCUCCUGGGAUAACACUGACGUUCAUGCUCGAAAGCGUGGGUAGCAAACAGGAUUAGAUACCCUGGUAGUCCACGCCGUAAACGAUGAGUGCUAGGUGUUAGACCCUUUCCGGGGUUUAGUGCCGUAGCUAACGCAUUAAGCACUCCGCCUGGGGAGUACGACCGCAAGGUUGAAACUCAAAGGAAUUGACGGGGGCCCGCACAAGCGGUGGAGCAUGUGGUUUAAUUCGAAGCAACGCGAAGAACCUUACCAGGUCUUGACAUCCCUCUGACCGCUCUAGAGAUAG
Molecule: ribosomal RNA, 511 nt
Filed under: uncultured bacterium
Lineage: Bacteria
Description: bacterial SSU rRNA
Rfam family: Bacterial small subunit ribosomal RNA
Source: RNAcentral